Molecule: ribosomal RNA, 2487 nt
Filed under: human gut metagenome
Description: bacterial LSU rRNA
Rfam family: Bacterial large subunit ribosomal RNA
Source: RNAcentral
GAAAGUAAAGAAGGGCGCAUGGCGGAUGCCUUGGCUCUCGGAGGCGAUGAAGGACGUGAUAAGCUGCGAUAAGCUUUGGGGAGGUGCAAAUGACCUUUGAUCCAGAGAUUUCCGAAUGGGACAACCCAAUAUCUUGAAGAGGUAUUAUCCAACGUUGUUGGAGGCUAACGCAGGGAACUGAAACAUCUUAGUACCUGCAGGAAAAGAAAAUAAACAAUGAUUCCCCCAGUAGUGGCGAGCGAACGGGGAACAGCCCAAACCAUCCAUGUUACGGCAUGGGUGGGGUUGUAGGACUACGCCGUUGCAUGAAGACAUCAGAGAAGAACUUUCUGGAAAGAAAGACCAUAGAGCAUGACAGUUGCGUAUUCGAAUGUUGUCGAAGCAUAGUAGUAUCCUGAGUAGCGCGGAGCACGAGGAAUUCUGCGUGAAUCUGCCGGGACCAUCCGGUAAGGCUAAAUACUCCCGAGAGACCGAUAGCGAACCAGUACCGUGAGGGAAAGGUGAAAAGCACUUCGAACAGAAGAGUGAAAUAGUUCCUGAAACCGUGCGCCUACAAGCGGUCGGAGCUCGUUAAUGAGUGACGGCGUGCCUUUUGCAUAAUGAACCUACGAGUUGCCUUUGCCGGCAAGGUUAAGUGUGACGACACACGUAUCCGAAGCGAAAGCGAGUCUGAACAGGGCGUAUAGUCGGCAGUGGCAGACGCGAAACCAAGUGAUCUACCCUUGGCCAGGUUGAAGGCUGGGUAACACCAGCUGGAGGACCGCACCAAUAAGCGUUGAAAAGCUUCUGGAUGAGCUGAGGGUAGGGGUGAAAGGCUAAUCAAACUUGGAGAUAGCUCGUACUCCCCGAAAUGCAUUUAGGUGCAGCCUUGCGGGUUACUGAUGUGAGGUAGAGCGACUGAUAAGAUGCGAGGGCUUCACCGCCUAUCAAGUCUUGACAAACUCCGAAUGCGCAUCAGUUCUACCGCAGGAGUGAGGGCAUGGGUGCUAAGGUCCGUGCCCGAGAGGAGAAGAAUCCGGACCACCUGCUAAGGUCCCGAAAUGACAGCUAAGUUAAACUAACGAAGUCUGACUGCUAAGACAGCUAGGAUGUUGGCUUGGAAGCAGCCAUUCAUUUAAAGAGUGCGUAACAGCUCACUAGUCGAGGAGUCGGGCGUGGAUAAUAAUCGGGUAUUAAGUUGUCUACCGAAGCAGUGGGAUCAUUAAUAUGAUCGGUAGGGGAGCAUUCCAGUCAGCGUCGAAGGCGUACCGUGAGGUAUUCUGGAGCGUCUGGAAAAGCAAAUGUAGGUAUAAGUAACGAUAAAGGGGGCGGGAAACCCCCUCGCCGAAAGACUAAGGUUUCCUGAUCAACGCUAAUCGGAUCAGGGUCAGUCGGGUCCUAAGGCUCAGCCGAACGGCGAUGCCGAUGGCAGAAACGGUUAAUAUUCCGUUACUACCUUCAGGAGUGACGUGGAGACGCAGUAGUGACAGUGCCGCCAUCUGACGGAAUAGAUGGUUGAAGGGUGUAGGAGUCGAUCAUGGCAGGCAAAUCCACCAUGAGAUCCGAACCUGACAGUAUGCCGCGUCCUUCGGGACAAGGCAAUAGUGCGCGUAAGCAUGCUGCCGAGAAAAUCCGCUAAACUUAAUCCUGCAGGUACCCGUACCGCAAACGGACACACGUAGUCGGGAUGAAUAUUCUAAGGCGCUUGAGUGAUUCACGGUUAAGGAACUAGGCAAACUGACCCUGUAACUUCGGGAUAAAGGGUCCCUACCCUUUUAUGGGAGGGCGCAGAGAAUCGGUCCAGGCAACUGUUUAACAAAAACACAGGGCUGUGCCAAAUCGAAAGAUCCAGUAUACAGCCUGACACCUGCCCGGUGCUGGAAGGUUAAGAGGAGAUGUCAUCGAUAAGAGAAGCGUUGAAUUGAAGCCCCAGUAAACGGCGGCCGUAACUAUAACGGUCCUAAGGUAGCGAAAUUCCUUGUCGGGUAAGUUCCGACCUGCACGAAUGGUGUAAUGAUCUGGACGCUGUCUCAACCGUGAGCUCAGUGAAAUUGUAGUAUCGGUGAAGAUGCCGAUUACCCGCGAUGGGACGAAAAGACCCCGUGAACCUUUACUAUAGCUUAUCAUUGAAUCUGGGCACGUGAUGUGUAGGAUAGGUCGGAGGCUUUGAAGCAGGUACGCCAGUAUUUGUGGAGCCGCUGUUGAAAUACGACCCUUUAUUUGUUUGGAUUCUAACCCGUGGAACGGGGACAUUGAUUGGUGGGUAGUUUGACUGGGGUGGUCGCCUCCAAAAGCGUAACGGAGGCUUCUAAAGGUGCCCUCCGGCCGAUUGGUAACCGGCCUUAGAGUGUAAUGGCAUAAGGGCGCUUGACUGGGAGACUGACAAGUCGAUCAGGUAGGAAACUAGAGCAUAGUGAUCCGGUGUUUCCGUAUGGAAGGGACAUCGCUCAAAGGAUAAAAGGUACUCCGGGGAUAACAGGCUGAUCCCUCCCAAGAGCUCAUAUCGAC